RNAcentral lists this long non-coding RNA (686 nucleotides) under Cicer arietinum (chickpea). RNAcentral's name for it is "long non-coding RNA (CARI_LNC001084)". The record is from RNAcentral. Lineage: Eukaryota; Viridiplantae; Streptophyta; Magnoliopsida; Fabales; Fabaceae.
UUUUUUAAUUUAUUUUGGGAUGUGUAAAAUGAUAGAUGACAAAAAUAUAGGGGAAGAGGAGAAAAGAACAGAAAAUAAUUUGGCUACCUUGGUUCUUGGUUUUUCUAAUUCUUACCCUUGGCUGAGACUCUCAAUUACUCACAUUCUUUGCCUUACUUGUUAGUUAGUACUUUCUAGACAUUGCGGCUAAAAGAUUAAUCUAGUAGGAAAAUUGAAGAGAAGGAGAAACAUAGAGGAUUAUUCAAAUAGGUAAAUUAAGAUUUUUCUAAUUCUUUCUUUUGAAUUAAAAUUAGAUGGUUUUCUUUUUGCUAAUUGUAUCUUUGUGUGGAUUAUAAGAUUCUUUUAUUCCAAAGAAUCCCUCACCUUCACUUUUUGAAAAGGCUUUUAUCCGUUUAUUACUUUAUGAAUAGGUGGGAAAAAGAUUUGGGGUUAGAUACUAAUGAACAAAAGAAUGCAUCUUGGAGUCAAUUUAUUGCUCCAGGAGUGGAAAUUGGAAUUGCAGUUCAUCACCAAAGAUUUCCUUUUCAUUGCUCACGAAGAAAGGUAGCAAAGAUACAAAGGGGUGAGAGGAAAAAAACAAUUAUCUUUGAGGCUCGACGUGUAAUUUACCGCAAAGUUUUUCUUUCCGUAAACAUAGACUUAAAGAAAGUAUUAAAAGGAAGUAUUACGCUAUAAAUCCAUAUAAG